UACGGAGGAUGCAAGCGUUAUCCGGAAUGAUUGGGCGUAAAGCGUCCGCAGGUGGCUAUGUAAGUCUGCUGUUAAAGAGUGAGGCUCAACCUCAUAAGAGCAGUGGAAACUACAUGGCUAGAGUGCGUUCGGGGCAGAGGGAAUUCCUGGUGUAGCGGUGAAAUGCGUAGAUAUCAGGAAGAACACCGGUGGCGAAAGCGGGCUGCUGGGCCGCAACUGACACUGAGGGACGAAAGCUAGGGGAGCGAAUAGG
RNAcentral lists this ribosomal RNA (253 nucleotides) under uncultured bacterium. RNAcentral's name for it is "partial 16S ribosomal RNA". It matches the Rfam family "Bacterial small subunit ribosomal RNA", at positions 524 to 776 of the family's 1533-position model. The record is from RNAcentral.